RNAcentral lists this long non-coding RNA (3047 nucleotides) under Lactuca sativa (garden lettuce). RNAcentral's name for it is "long non-coding RNA (LSAT_LNC010249)". The record is from RNAcentral. Lineage: Eukaryota; Viridiplantae; Streptophyta; Magnoliopsida; Asterales; Asteraceae.
AAAGAACUAACCUAACAACCUUUAGUUUUCUGUUAUUUUCUUCAGUUUGUUGGUACCCUGGAUCUUAAUUUUGUUUUAGGUUUAGUUUAAUUUUUGGAUUUUGGUUUGAUUAGAGUUUAAGAUGGAGAUCGAGAUAUUUUAGGUAUAUAGGAUGAAGGAGAAAAAGACUGGGGCAAAAUAGUCAUAUUUCACUUGGACUUCACUGGCAUUUUGCAACACCAUCAGUAUCAGGGACAAAUCUUGCAACAAAACCAUACUAACGAAAUAUCACAAGGACAAAAUUGUAAUUUACUCUAUAAAUAAUAUUGGCAUGUUACCUGACAAUAACCAAGAUCAAAGUUGUAGAAUGAGCAAAUCAUCAAUAUAUCAUGCACAAUGCAUACAUUUGGAUUAUCAUCACCCUCAUAGAAUGACCUGUCAAAAACCUCAUUUUAAAUAAUUUGAAAUGUAUGGUUAUUUUCAUAUAUUCGAUAAUAGAAAUUAUCUAUUAAGUACUAAUUGGAAAACAAAAUUAUCUUCUAUUAAAGUAUUAAGAUAUAUGAUAAGGUAACAAAAAUUGCAAUACCUGAUCCCAUUUCUUGUACAGAUCACCAGAAAGAACGAAGUGAAAUCCAUACUUUCUUAACAUAAUUCAUUUGGCUAAAAAAAAAGUUUCUUAACAUGAUUAUUACCUCAUCAGAGAUACGAAAGUAUACAUCAGCACCUCUUUAUAUUGACCACUUGAUUUUAACAUUUCAAUCCACCAUGAGGCAUUUCCUUCUCUGAUGUAAAGAUCUACCAGGCAUACUAAAUAAGUACUGAAGGUGUUUCUGUGGAAUAUUCAACAUCUUUUCUGAUUGAUUCAACAUGAAGUAAGUUAAUCCCAUCAUUUCCUGCAGAUAAUAUAUAUAUAUAUAGAAGUGUAUUUGGGUGAUUUCCGUCUUCUAUCCACUGAAUUACAAAAGAUAUGAGUCUGUAACUUUGUUUGUUUAUUUCCAGAAAUACCCCUCUGCUCCUAAAAGCUUGUGCUUAUAUAUANCUCAGCAUAUAAAUUGUUAAAAAAAUCACAACACCUCUUGGAAGUAUCCUCAUUUGAUUAAGAUUCAAGCUUACUUUUCUUAUGCCCCCAAAAAAUCAAUUGUCAAUCUCUAAAAAUCCUGCAGUAAGAAAAUUACAAACAUAAGUCCAUAUAUUUUUGUAGCAAUGACAAUCAAAAUCUGUUUCAAAUAUGGAAAUUUAACACUUCAGCCUAACGUAUAUUAAUUAUAGGCAACUCUUAGUUAGAACCAAAUACACUUCUAUUUCUAAUUGAGUUAAAACUACAAACAAUAAAUUUUCUUUCCCUGAUUGAAUCUCUAAUAGCUCAAUAAUUUAAUCCAAUAACAUUAAGACAUUUCAUCAAACACCUAAAGUGCAGAGAAGAAGAAUCUACAACUAAACAGUACUUUUUUGGGUUUCAAGACUAUUUAAACUUAACUAUUGUUUGACCAAUCAUCUUCAUUUGAUGGGUGAUUUCUAUUAGGUGACCUGCUUCAAAAAACCAACAAAACAAAAAAUAAAUGGACGAGAAAUAGAAAGAAAAAAAGAAACCCAGAAAUCGGAGGAGAAAACACACAAUUAAACUUACAACCUAGAAAUCAGAGGAGAAAGACAUGUAUUCUUUUUCUUGAUCGAUGAUGACGGUGAACCAAACUGACAUCGGAACCAGACGUCAUACUACAACUACAAAUAAUAAAGGUACAACCCAAUAGCCCCAGUGAUGAAGGGAGGCCUGAAGAUGUUAGCCUAAUUUAAAAUACCUAACAAAAACAAAAACGAAAUCAAUGAAAUACACACACAAAAAAAAAAAUCAAGAACGUUACCUAACAGAGGAAGAGGGAAACGCAGAGGAUUGUUGAACGUCGGGGAAUGAAAGAAAGAGGAAACGGUGGUGUCGAUAGAAGAAAAAGAACCUCCAAAUAAAACCCUAUUCUUCAAAGAAACAUGUAUGUAUGUUGUUUUGAGAGAAGCCAGAGGGAUGAGUGAAGAAGGUUAUUUUAAGCGCGAAUACACCGACCCAACCCUUUCGACUUCCGAUUUCUAACGGUUCUUUUUAUAAAACAUUCCUAAAUUACCAUACUAACAAAAUAACAUUUCCAUUUAUCUUAAGCCCCUUAACUUUUGUUUUUUUACUUUAACCUGCCUUUUUUCUUUUUAAUUUUUAUUACAAAUUUAGUCUAAACUUAUUUUUUUUACAACUUUCUUUUUAUAUAAUUUCUAAAAUUUAGGCUUUUAAAAAAAAUUAUUUUGUUACAAUUUUAUAAAAUUUGAUUUUUUACAAAUAUUCUUUUAAUUUUGUUUUAUAUUUUCUUUUCUUAGAUUUUUCUGAUUUUAUAAAUUAUAUUUUUUUAAUUAGUUUUCUAUAUUCUACAAAAAUUAUUUUUUACAUAAUUUUUUUUUUCAAAUUGUUUUUAAAAAACUAAUAUUCUUUAGAAAAUUAUUUUUACAAAGAGUUAUAUAUUUGGUUUUAUGCAUGUAUUUUAAAAAAAUUCCCGCAUUUAAAUAAAUAUUAUUCUUUAAAAUUUAUUUACUAUUUUUAUAUAUUCAUUUACAUGGUCGGUUUCAAAAAUAAUCUUUUUAAGAGUGCACUUUUAUGUUACAGUUAAAUGUCUCAUCCAAAUUCCUUUGUUAUACAAUUUUGGAAUGGUGAAAACAUUUAAAUAUUUCAAAGGGAGGCUCAUCCUUAACUCAAGUAAUAAAACAUUUAAAAGUUAAAACUUCUAUUGUUUUCAUAAUCUUUAAAAUAUCUAUAAUAUAUAACCAAACAAUAUACAUAUAUAACUAAAUAAAAAAGAAAAUGUAGAAAUAUUUAAAAUAUCGAAAAAUUCAAUCACUAUCUAGACUUCACCCAUCAUCCAAAAGAACCAAAAAUUAUGAAUCUUUCAAAACUCAAAACUCAAAACCCUCACUCCGAACCUAUCAUGAACUAUUUGUUUUCUUUUAUGUCACAAUCAUUUCUUCUCCGGUCCCAUUGUGUCGUUAGUUUAUAUCCCCGUCAUCGAGCCACUACUCACAUUAACACUCUUCGU